GACAGAGGGUGCAAACGUUGUUCGGAAUUACUGGGCGUAAAGCGCGUGUAGGCUGCUCGGAAAGUCGGAUGUGAAAGCCCUGGGCUUAACCUAGGAAGUGCAUUCGAAACUUCCGAGCUGGAGUUCUGGAGAGGAAGGCGGAAUUCUCGGUGUAGAGGUGAAAUUCGUAGAUAUCGAGAGGAACACCGGUGGCGAAGGCGGCCUUCUGGACAGUGACUGACGCUGAGACGCGAAAGCGUGGGGAGCAAACAGG
RNAcentral lists this ribosomal RNA (253 nucleotides) under uncultured bacterium. Its description in RNAcentral is "partial 16S ribosomal RNA". It matches the Rfam family "Bacterial small subunit ribosomal RNA", at positions 524 to 776 of the family's 1533-position model. RNAcentral also lists the same sequence under 1 other name. The record is from RNAcentral.